Molecule: long non-coding RNA, 528 nt
Organism: Oncorhynchus kisutch (coho salmon)
Lineage: Eukaryota; Metazoa; Chordata; Actinopteri; Salmoniformes; Salmonidae
Exons: 2
Source: RefSeq, a predicted model, not a curated record
UGGAAAAACCUAGUAACCACCAUCAUCCAUGCCAUGGCACCGAUCACAAAUCCUCAUCAAUGAACUCGCCAUUCUAACAAACCAGCACAGAACCAUUGAAGAUGUCCAUAGACAGGACAUCAUAGGCUAAUGAUUUCACAUAUCCACUGGACCCCCCACCAAGCCCAGAGACCAGAUCCCAGGAGGGACAAAUACUUCGGAGUUGUGUAACAUACAUGAUGAAGUCUUGCCUGGAGGCCACGUUACAUCAUGCACAUGCAGGAAAUGCUAGCUCCAGUCUCCAGGGGCCUUUAAUUCUUCUGUUGCCCCACUCUGGAGACCCUCUCCUUUGGUAUGAAGGCUGAAUGUAAGGGGCUGCUGUAAGAUGCUAUGGUUCUAUGAUCCUGCCCAGUGGUUGACUUGCUGUUUGGACAAGGAAGGUACACAAGGCUGGGCAAGUGGCUAGUAUAACAUCAUGUUUAUUUCACCAUUAUUGUAAAAGAGGAAAAACAUGUUCAAAUAAAGCAGUGUUACUGUGUUUUAAAUGGU